Arachis ipaensis is the source of this 153-nucleotide non-coding RNA. The record is from RefSeq and is a predicted model, not a curated record. Lineage: Eukaryota; Viridiplantae; Streptophyta; Magnoliopsida; Fabales; Fabaceae.
UGCCAAGUUUCCCUAAGCUAAGGCCCUUAGGUAAAGUCAUGUACACUUCCUCGUCCAAAUCCAAAUCACCAUGAAGAAAUAUAGUGUUUGCAUCAAGUUGUUUAAGGAACCAUCCUUUCGAUGCUGCCAAGGCAAGAAGGAUUCGAAGUGUGG